Molecule: transfer RNA, 75 nt
Filed under: Reticulibacter mediterranei
Lineage: Bacteria; Bacillati; Chloroflexota; Ktedonobacteria; Ktedonobacterales; Reticulibacteraceae
Description: tRNA-Arg
Rfam family: tRNA
About the family: Transfer RNA (tRNA) molecules are approximately 80 nucleotides in length. Their secondary structure includes four short double-helical elements and three loops (D, anti-codon, and T loops). Further hydrogen bonds mediate the characteristic L-shaped molecular structure. tRNAs have two regions of fundamental functional importance: the anti-codon, which is responsible for specific mRNA codon recognition, and the 3' end, to which the tRNAs corresponding amino acid is attached (by aminoacyl-tRNA synthetases). tRNAs cope with the degeneracy of the genetic code in two manners: having more than one tRNA (with a specific anti-codon) for a particular amino acid; and 'wobble' base-pairing, i.e. permitting non-standard base-pairing at the 3rd anti-codon position.
Source: RNAcentral
GCACCCAUAGCUCAGUGGAUAGAGCACUAGUCUUCGGAACUAGGUUGUCGGGGGUUCGAAUCCCUCUGGGUGCGC